Lates calcarifer (barramundi perch) is the source of this 849-nucleotide long non-coding RNA. RefSeq lists it as uncharacterized. Lineage: Eukaryota; Metazoa; Chordata; Actinopteri; Centropomidae. The record is from RefSeq and is a predicted model, not a curated record. The transcript has 4 exons.
UCAAGUGAGUCAUCAAAAAUGUGUUAAAAAUGUCACAGUAUAGUAUGGUGUCAAAAACAGUCAAAAAAUGGCACAUUCAAGUGAGUCAUCAAAAAUGUGCUAAAAAUGUCAUAAUAUAGUAUGGCGUCAAAAAAUGGCAUAGUAUAGUAAGGCAUGAAAAAUGGUCAAAAAUCUCAUAGUAUAGCAUGGGGUCAAAAAAUGUCAUAGUAUAGUAAGGUGUCAAAAACAGUCAAAAAAUGGCACAUUCAAGUGAGUCAUCAAAAAUGUGCUAAAAAUGUCACAGUAUAGUAUGGUGUCAAAAACAGUCAAAAAAUGGCACAUUCAAGUGAGUCAUCAAAAAUGUGCUAAAAAUGUCAUAAUAUAGUAUGGCGUCAAAAAAUGGCAUAGUAUAGUAAGGUGUCAAAACCGGUCAAAAAAUCAUAUAUUCAAGUGCGUCAUCAAAAAUGUGCUAAAAAUGUCAUAAUAUAGUAUGGCGUCAAAAAAUGUCAUAGUAUAGUAAGGUGUCAAAAACAGUCAAAAAAUGGCACAUUCAAGUGAGUCAUCAAAAAUGUGUUAAAAAUGUCACAGUAUAGUAUGGUGUCAAAAACAGUCAAAAAAUGGCACAUUCAAGUGAGUCAUCAAAAAUGUGCUAAAAAUGUCAUAAUAUAGUAUGGCGUCAAAAAAUGGCAUAGUAUAGUAAGGCAUGAAAAAUGGUCAAAAAUCUCAUAGUAUAGUAAGGUGUCAAAAACAGUCAAAAAAUGGCACAUUCAAGUGAGUCAUCAAAAAUAUGCUAAAAAUGUCAUAAUAUAGUAUGGCGUCAAAAAAUGGCAUAGUAUAGUAAGGCAUGAAAAAUGGUCAAAAAUCUCAGUA